AUGGACCAAUCCAUCCCUUUUUCCCGUGCAUAUGCAUCGGACUCGGAUGACGAUGGUCCCGAUGAAGAAGUUCAUGAGGAGGGGUUCACGCCGAAGGAGGCCCAAGCAUUCAUGAAGGUAUUUGGGCGGGAUCACAAGACACCAUUGUUCAAGGAUCUUAGUCUCGCGGAUGAAGCCGUUGUGGUGUAG
RNAcentral lists this ribosomal RNA (189 nucleotides) under Triticum aestivum (bread wheat). RNAcentral's name for it is "partial small subunit ribosomal RNA". Lineage: Eukaryota; Viridiplantae; Streptophyta; Magnoliopsida; Poales; Poaceae. The record is from RNAcentral.